AACGGCCAUACCAUGCUGAAUAUACCGGUUCUCGUUAGAUCCCCGAAGUCAAUCAUCAUUGGGCGCGGUCAGUAAUUGUGUGGGUGACCAUCUGGGAACACCGGGUGCUGUU
Molecule: ribosomal RNA, 112 nt
Filed under: Caerostris darwini
Lineage: Eukaryota; Metazoa; Arthropoda; Arachnida; Araneae; Araneidae
Source: RNAcentral